This 253-nucleotide ribosomal RNA is filed under the name uncultured bacterium. RNAcentral's name for it is "partial 16S ribosomal RNA". It matches the Rfam family "Bacterial small subunit ribosomal RNA", at positions 524 to 776 of the family's 1533-position model. The record is from RNAcentral.
UACGGAGGGUGCAAGCGUUGUCCGGAUUUAUUGGGUUUAAAGGGUGCGUAGGUGGCCUAUUAAGUCAGUGUUUAAAGUCUGCAGCUUAACUGUAGGAAUGGCAUUGAUACUGAUAGGCUUGAGUAAAGUUGAGGUAGGCGGAAUUGAAGGUGUAGCGGUGAAAUGCAUAGAUAUCUUCAAGAACACCGAUUGCGAAGGCAGCUUACUAAGCUUUAACUGACACUGAGGCACGAAAGCGUGGGGAUCAAACAGG